CCUACGGGAGGCAGCAGUAAGGAAUAUUGGUCAAUGGACGAAAGUCUGAACCAGCCAUGCCGCGUGAAGGAUUAAGGCCCUCUGGGUUGUAAACUUCUUUUAUCUGGGACGAAAAAAGGGUAUUCUUACUCACUUGACGGUACCAGAGGAAUAAGCACCGGCUAACUCCGUGCCAGCAGCCGCGGUAAUACGGAGGGUGCAAGCGUUAUCCGGAUUUACUGGGUUUAAAGGGUGCGUAGGUGGGCUUGUAAGUCAGUGGUGAAAUCUCCGGGCUUAACCCGGAAACUGCCAUUGAUACUAUAGGUCUUGAAUUAUCUGGAGGUAAGCGGAAUAUGUCAUGUAGCGGUGAAAUGCUUAGAUAUGACAUAGAACACCAAUUGCGAAGGCAGCUUACUACGGAUACAUUGACACUGAGGCACGAAAGCGUGGGGAUCAAACAGGAUUAGAUACCCUGGUAGUCCACGCCCUAAACGAUGGAUACUCGACAUCAGCGAUACACUGUUGGUGUCUGAGCGAAGANAUAGUAUCCACCNGGAGUACGANCGCAGAUAGAACACAANAGAGUAGACGCGUGAGAGUAGCGACGACGACGACGAGGGAGGAGG
RNAcentral lists this ribosomal RNA (605 nucleotides) under uncultured bacterium. RNAcentral's name for it is "bacterial SSU rRNA". The stretch from base 1 to 532 matches the Rfam family "Bacterial small subunit ribosomal RNA", at positions 338 to 873 of the family's 1533-position model. The record is from RNAcentral.